Long non-coding RNA from Tribolium castaneum (red flour beetle), 523 nucleotides. RefSeq lists it as uncharacterized. Lineage: Eukaryota; Metazoa; Arthropoda; Insecta; Coleoptera; Tenebrionidae. The transcript has 3 exons. The record is from RefSeq and is a predicted model, not a curated record.
AUAGAAUUUUGAAACAGCGCUUUGAAUUUUUUGGAAUGAAAUGGAGCACAAAUUGAGUGUUUCUGGUGGGUUUUCUUAGUUCAAAACAUGUCGCUGGGAUUUAGUUUAACACCGAAUUCUUUUCUUUUACAGAAAAUUUCAGUUUGUGCUUUAUUUUUCACUCUGAAAAAUUUAAAUGCGCUGUUACAAUUCUACUAUGAACUGAAAUGGGAUAUAAAAUGUAACACUUGCACAAGAAAAAUUUUUAUUCUCGAAAAUUAUUUCCGAAUUAAAAACUGGCAUUAUUCGAUGCCUGAAUGUUUGUUAUUAUUUCUAUUAAGCGAUAUUUCUGAUUUUAUAUGAGAAAUUCAAAGGCGACUAGAUGAAAAUCAUUUUAACACACCUUGUACGCAUAAGUGUAAAAUUAGAGAGAGAGCGAAUGUGUGUUGGGUAACGAACAUGCGUAUUAUAAGGAUGUGUUUCGUUAAAUACCCUUUCCAGUUAAGAACGAAAUCUGCAACAAUGAUCUUUUUGGACAGUCAAG